CGGGGUGCAGCAGGCGCGAAAACUUUACAAUGCUGGCAACAGCGAUAAGGGGACCUCGAGUGCCAGGAUACAAUCUUGGCUGUCGUGAUGCCUAAAAAGCAUUGCAUAGCAAGGGCCGGGCAAGACCGGUGCCAGCCGCCGCGGUAACACCGGCGGCUCGAGUGGUAACCGCUAUUAUUGGGUCUAAAGGGUCUGUAGCCGGCCGGAUAAGUCUCUUGGGAAAUCCGACAGCUCAACUGUCGGGCUUUCAGGGGAUACUGUUCGGCUCGAGGCCGGGAGAGGUGAGAGGUACUUCAGGGGUAGGGGUGAAAUCUUGUAAUCCUUGAAGGACCACCAGUGGCGAAGGCGUCUCACCAGAACGGUCCUGACGGCAAGGGACGAAAGCUAGGGGCACGAACCGGAUUAGAUACCCGGGUAGUCCUAGCCGUAAACGAUACUCGCUAGGUGUCGGCCACGGUGCGACCGUGGUCGGUGCCGUAGGGAAGCCGUGAAGCGAGCCACCUGGGAAGUACGGCCGCAAGGCUGAAACUUAAAGGAA
Molecule: ribosomal RNA, 538 nt
Filed under: uncultured archaeon
Lineage: Archaea
Description: bacterial SSU rRNA
Rfam family: Archaeal small subunit ribosomal RNA
Source: RNAcentral